Molecule: ribosomal RNA, 379 nt
Filed under: Marionina filiformis
Lineage: Eukaryota; Metazoa; Annelida; Clitellata; Enchytraeida; Enchytraeidae
Description: partial 12S ribosomal RNA
Source: RNAcentral
UCAAGAUACAAUAUAUAAUCAGGCAAUACAAGCAACAGCUUAAAACCUAAAAAAAAUGGCGGUACCCUAUAUACUCAGGGGAACCUGUUACUUAAUUCGAUAAUCCACGACAUUUCAUCCAUAAAAUGAAUAAAACAACUUGUAUACUACUGUCGUCAGCAGACCCCUAAAAGAAAGUUUGCAACUAAAUAAUACUUUUAACGUCAAGUCAAAGUGCAGUUUAUAUUAUGGAGUAAAUGGGUUACACUUUCAAUUAAACAAAACCGAUUAAAAAAAUAAAAAUUUUAUGAAGGUGGACUUGAUAGUAAUUAUUAAAAAUUAUCAUAAUAAACUCUAAAUAUGGUAUGCACACAUCGCCCGUCGCUCUUGUUUUAAAACU